Homo sapiens (human) is the source of this 463-nucleotide long non-coding RNA. Ensembl annotates it as TTN antisense RNA 1. Its record names the gene TTN-AS1. NCBI's taxonomy places the organism in Eukaryota, Metazoa, Chordata, Mammalia, Primates, Hominidae. The record is from Ensembl.
GAUGCAUUUCGGAUUUCAAGGGAGUAUACAUUUCUGGAGCGGCUUAUGCUGACAUUUGAAGAAAUAGAAAUCUAAGACAAAGGAAAAAGAAAAGAAAUGUUGAAGUUCUUCAGAUGUGGAAGACAUGGUGAGGAUUCCUUCAUCUCUGUGACUGGCUUGCUUGAUGGUUAGGGUCUGAUCGCUGCCUGAGACACCAUAUCGGUACUCCUCAGAGUUGAUGCAGAGUGUUCAUAUGAGGAGAGACUUUCCCUUGUCUCCGUCAUCUGUGAUUUCACUUCCCUGACAGAAGACGAAGCUUCCAUCUCAGAUGUUUUCUUAAAUGAUGAAACAGCAUACGCCUCUGUUCUUGUCAGCUCAGGGAAAACAGAUCUGGGGACCUCUUCAUCUCUGCGUUGGGAAGCAUAGGUGGUAUAAUCCCCUCCUGUCACGUCCAACGUUGCAUAGUCAGAAGCUUCGCCCUUGU